CAAUUUUUAAUUUUUGACAGACGAUACAAUAGAUGACUAGUAGCGGAAAUAAAAACAACAACACAAUAACAAACUAAAGACAGCAAAUAAAGGCUCGGACUGAUUAACAACGCAGCACAACCGGUUAAAACAAAGCAAUAGCGAGACGAGGUAAGACCUUACAACCCUGAAACUAGAUGAGAAGACCGGCCGGUUGCCACGAGCACUGAGAGAAGGGCGCCCUCAAACCCUGAAUGCAACAGUUACCUACAGCUUCUAGCCGAUAACCCAGAGCAAAGCAGAGCGCAGAAUCCAACCACGGACACAGAGCAAGCAAGAUAAAAGAGACCACCGGCGGUACGAGGAAAAGCCGAAGACCAACAGUGCCGUCGUUCCGAGGUUUACGCCGGAGAUUACCGCCUCCAUUGCAUUUCUCGGGGACCGUAUACACUCAUUUAACCACAACCCGAAUUUUUUUUUUUUUUUGGUAAAAUGUUAAAAUAUUAUUACCAAUUUUUAAUUUUUGACAGACGAUACAAUAGAUGACUAGUAGCGGAAAUAAAAACAACAACACAAUAACAAACUAAAGACAGCAAAUAAAGGCUCGGACUGAUUAACAACGCAGCACAACCGGUUAAAACAAAGCAAUAGCGAGACGAGGUAAGACCUUACAACCCUGAAACUAGAUGAGAAGACCGGCCGGUUGCCACGAGCACUGAGAGAAGGGCGCCCUCAAACCCUGAAUGCAACAGUUACCUACAGCUUCUAGCCGAUAACCCAGAGCAAAGCAGAGCGCAGAAUCCAACCACGGACACAGAGCAAGCAAGAUAAAAGAGACCACCGGCGGUACGAGGAAAAGCCGAAGACCAACAGUGCCGUCGUUCCGAGGUUUACGCCGGAGAUUACCGCCUCCAUUGCAUUUCUCGGGGACAGUAUACACUCAUUUAACCACAACCCGAAGAGAAUAUGGGUCGGUAGACGGACAGCUCCUCCGGAGGCAACUAAACCGAAGCCACGCUCGAGCCCCCGCUGACUUACUAUCACACCAGCAAAAACACAGUCGAGCCAGAAGUUGUUGCCAAGCCACGAACACGAACCUGCUGAGAUUAUUUGAGAAAAGCUAGCAACGGAGAAGGCCACAAACGUCAUCACCACUGAGUUCUGAGCGAUGAAGAAGCACACGGGAGCUAAACCACGAAGCACACCAUGUGAAACCACACACUACGCGACGCCACAGGGAAACCGGACGGACGUCUCCAUCCUCGACGAAACCCACGCGCAGCCACCACCUGAGAACACGACGGUGGCUCACAGAUUCAGAAGAGAGAUCUGGAGUUACCAAGAACCAGUGCCUCAACACCACUCGAGUUUCCAAGUUCCGGCAAACCCUAGACCCCCAACUCCACACGCAGCUGAAGCCACCACCAGGAGCCACCCCGGAGGUAAAUCGAGCCAACGAGGAGCUUAACGACACAACACGCGCCACCAACUCGGCGGGACAAGACUGGAUCUGGGAAAAAAAUUGGCGAGCUCCGAUUCAGACGAGGGAAUCACAAAGGUGGAAGAAACCGUCCUCUAGAGACUUCCGCCGUUGUUAACCCUAGAUCUAUAGUCGGAGCGACCAGAUCUGAGACACAGUCAAGCACCACCCUCAAAGCCGCAGAACAACGAAGGAGACAGACGAGAGAGAGAUAGAGAUGGACAUAGACGGGAGAGAGAUGGAGGCCGGCCACCGCACGAGGCGGCGGCCGCCGGACUAAGCUGACGGAGAGGAGCUCGGGAGUAGAGAGAAGGUGGAGAGUUUGUUUUGAGAGAGAGAGUGCGUUUUCACACGCCAGAAAGGUGUUUUCACCUCUUUGCCGGGAACCCAAGCAAUGUAAAUAGUCCCUCCCAGCACGAAUCGAACCCGGGUGGCGGAAGUUACAGCCGCAACCCCUUUACCACCAGAGCUGACUCGUUCUGGUAAAAAGGAAAUUAAGUACAGAUUACAUUUGACAAUGUUGCUCUUAACAUACAUAUCAUUGCCUUCCACUAAUAAUUGUUUUUUUGUGAAGAUGAUGACUGCAUAUUCUCGAAC
RNAcentral lists this long non-coding RNA (2056 nucleotides) under Brassica napus (rape). RNAcentral's name for it is "long non-coding RNA (BNAP_LNC001929)". The record is from RNAcentral. Lineage: Eukaryota; Viridiplantae; Streptophyta; Magnoliopsida; Brassicales; Brassicaceae.